ACAGAAGGGGUCCCUUGUUACUGCUGGGCAGGGUUCUGGGCUGUGGUAAAAAUUACGAUUUUCCACAAGACUAUUCUGACACUACACAAGCAAGGAGGGGAUCCUCAUUUCUUCUGAGGUAGAGAGACUGAGACUAGGGGAUAUUGAAUCAUUUACCCGAGGACACACUAUUAGGAAGUGUCAGGGUUAGGAUUCUAUAUCCAGUCCUGUCUCGUAUUCCUCUCUUACAUAGACUCUGUGCUUCAGCCAAUCUGCUUAACCGAAGAUGAAAUUAAAAGAUAAAAUGGAUGCAAAAUACUUAUUUAGUAAGAAAGCAGUGAAUGGAGCAUAUAUGUGGUUCGUAGGGUAACUCAGCUCCACAGUACAUUGGGGACCCAGACCUUUGCAUCCUAUUGGAGUAUUCUGAAGAGUAGGAAUGAAGGUGAAGAGUAGAAGUAGAAUCUGAAAAAGUAGGACAACUGGCUUCAGAUAUAGAAGCAUUAUCUGAGCUCAGUAAUUUUUUUUCAAGGAAAAAAGCAUGAAUAAAUACAUGUGUGAAACAUUUUUGAAGUGAUAGAGUAUUAACAGGGAAACUACUCAUUUGACUCAGGCCCACUACUACCCUGGAAAAUACUGGAACAUGUCAAGAUUAUUUUUUAAAUUAGUUAAUACAUCUAAAGGGAGUUGCACAGUGCCUGAUUCAUGGUAGUACUCAAUAUCAGAUAGUUGUUGAUGUUAUUUUAUGAUUU
Long non-coding RNA from Gorilla gorilla gorilla (western lowland gorilla), 728 nucleotides. RefSeq lists it as uncharacterized. The transcript has 4 exons. The record is from RefSeq and is a predicted model, not a curated record. NCBI's taxonomy places the organism in Eukaryota, Metazoa, Chordata, Mammalia, Primates, Hominidae.